RNAcentral lists this ribosomal RNA (433 nucleotides) under uncultured bacterium. RNAcentral describes it as "partial 16S ribosomal RNA". It matches the Rfam family "Bacterial small subunit ribosomal RNA", at positions 29 to 507 of the family's 1533-position model. The record is from RNAcentral.
AACGAACGCUAGCGGCAUGCCUAACACAUGCAAGUCGAACGAGACCUUCGGGUCUAGUGGCGCACGGGUGCGUAACGCGUGGGAACCUGCCCUUAGGUUCGGAUUAACUCCCCGAAAGGGGUGCUAAUACCGGAUAAUGUCUUCGGACCAAAGAUUUAUCGCCUUUGGAUGGGCCCGCGUUGGAUUAGCUAGUUGGUAGGGUAAAAGCCUACCAAGGCGACGAUCCAUAGCUGGUCUGAGAGGAUGAUCAGCCACACUGGGACUGAGACACGGCCCAGACUCCUACGGGAGGCAGCAGUGGGGAAUAUUGGACAAUGGGCGAAAGCCUGAUCCAGCAAUGCCGCGUGAGUGAUGAAGGCCUUAGGGUUGUAAAGCUCUUUUACCCGGGAUGAUAAUGACAGUACCGGGAGAAUAAGCUCCGGCUAACUCCGUG